This 885-nucleotide ribosomal RNA is filed under the name Auxarthronopsis guizhouensis. RNAcentral's name for it is "eukaryotic LSU rRNA". It matches the Rfam family "Eukaryotic large subunit ribosomal RNA", at positions 43 to 941 of the family's 3401-position model. The record is from RNAcentral. Lineage: Eukaryota; Fungi; Ascomycota; Eurotiomycetes; Onygenales; Neogymnomycetaceae.
UCAAUAAGCGGAGGAAAAGAAACCAACAGGGAUUGCCCCAGUAACGGCGAGUGAAGCGGCAAGAGCUCAAAUUUGAAAUCUGGCUCCCUUUGGGGGUCCGAGUUGUAAUUUGCAGAGGAUGCUUUGGGUGCGGCCGCGGCGCAAGUCCCUUGGAACAGGGCGUCGCAGAGGGUGAGAACCCCGUCUUGAGUCGCUGGUCCGCGCCCGUGCAAAGCUCCUUCGACGAGUCGAGUUGUUUGGGAAUGCAGCUCUAAAUGGGUGGUAAAUUUCAUCUAAAGCUAAAUAUUGGCCGGAGACCGAUAGCGCACAAGUAGAGUGAUCGAAAGGUUAAAAGCACCUUGAAAAGGGAGUUAAACAGCACGUGAAAUUGUUGAAAGGGAAGCGCUGGCGACCAGACUCGGGCGCGGGGGUUCAGCGGGCGGGAAUCGCCCGUGCACUCCCCCGCGCUCCGGGCCAGCAUCGGUCUUGGCGGCCGGUCAAAGGCCCCCGGAAUGUGUCGUCCUCCGGGACGUCUUAUAGCCGGGGGUGCAAUGCGGCCAGCCGGGACCGAGGAACGCGCCUCGGCACGGAUGCUGGCGUAAUGGUCGUCAGCGACCCGUCUUGAAACACGGACCAAGGAGUCUAACAUCCACGCGAGUGUUCGGGUGUCAAACCCGUGCGCGCAGUGAAAGCGAACGGAGGUGGGAGCCCGCAAGGGUGCACCAUCGACCGAUCCUGAAGUCUUCGGAUGGAUUUGAGUAGGAGCGUGGCUGUUGGGACCCGAAAGAUGGUGAACUAUGCCUGAAUAGGGUGAAGCCAGAGGAAACUCUGGUGGAGGCUCGCAGCGGUUCUGACGUGCAAAUCGAUCGUCAAAUUUGGGUAUAGGGGCGAAAGACUAAUCGAACC